UACGUAGGGUGCAAGCGUUAUCCGGAAUUAUUGGGCGUAAAGAGCUCGUAGGCGGUUUGUCGCGUCUGCUGUGAAAACUGGGGGCUCAACCCCCAGCCUGCAGUGGGUACGGGCAGACUAGAGUGCGGUAGGGGAGAUUGGAAUUCCUGGUGUAGCGGUGGAAUGCGCAGAUAUCAGGAGGAACACCGAUGGCGAAGGCAGCUCGGCUGGGACGGUACUGACGCUGAGGCGCGAAAGCGUGGGGAGCAAACAGG
RNAcentral lists this ribosomal RNA (254 nucleotides) under uncultured bacterium. RNAcentral's name for it is "partial 16S ribosomal RNA". It matches the Rfam family "Bacterial small subunit ribosomal RNA", at positions 524 to 776 of the family's 1533-position model. The record is from RNAcentral.